RNAcentral lists this ribosomal RNA (446 nucleotides) under uncultured bacterium. Its description in RNAcentral is "bacterial SSU rRNA". It matches the Rfam family "Bacterial small subunit ribosomal RNA", at positions 354 to 796 of the family's 1533-position model. The record is from RNAcentral.
GUGGGGAAUUUUGCGCAAUGGGCGAAAGCCUGACGCAGCAACGCCGCGUGUGUGACGAAGGCCCUAGGGUUGUAAAGCACUGUGGGAAGGGAAGAAAAAACGGGGGUUGUACCCCGUCUUGACGGUACCUUGUUAGAAAGCACCGGCUAACUCCGUGCCAGCAGCCGCGGUAAUACGGAGGGUGCAAGCGUUGUUCGGAAUUAUUGGGCGUAAAGGGCGUGUAGGUGGCUUGCCAAGUCUGGUGUGAAAGCCCACGGCUCAACCGUGGAACUGCAUUGGAAACUGGCAAGCUCGAGUGUUGGAGGGGGUCGCGGAAUUCCCGGUGUAGAGGUGAAAUUCGUAGAUAUCGGGAGGAACACCAGUGGCGAAGGCGGCGACCUGGCCAAUCACUGACACUGAGACGCGAAAGCGUGGGGAGCAAACAGGAUUAGAAACCCUAGUAGUCC